AUGUUAGCUCUUUCAACAUGAAAGGGGGAUGCCUAUGACUUUUUUGUUAGGAACUCCUGGAAAGGAUAACCCAUGACCGUUUAUGAAGCACUCUCUUUUGCAGUCGCUUUUACAACUUUAAUGUUGUUACUAAACAGUCAAAA
This 143-nucleotide small RNA is filed under the name Listeria monocytogenes serotype 4b str. LL195. RNAcentral's name for it is "Listeria sRNA rli28". It matches the Rfam family "Listeria sRNA rli28", at positions 41 to 186 of the family's 186-position model. Lineage: Bacteria; Bacillati; Bacillota; Bacilli; Caryophanales; Listeriaceae. The record is from RNAcentral.